RNAcentral lists this ribosomal RNA (301 nucleotides) under uncultured bacterium. Its description in RNAcentral is "partial 16S ribosomal RNA". It matches the Rfam family "Bacterial small subunit ribosomal RNA", at positions 509 to 807 of the family's 1533-position model. The record is from RNAcentral.
CAGUAGCCGCGGUAAUACAGAGGGUGCGAGCGUUAAUCGGAUUUACUGGGCGUAAAGCGUGCGUAGGCGGCUUCUUAAGUCGGAUGUGAAAUCCCUGAGCUUAACUUAGGAAUUGCAUUCGAUACUGGGAAGCUAGAGUAUGGGAGAGGAUGGUAGAAUUCCAGGUGUAGCGGUGAAAUGCGUAGAGAUCUGGAGGAAUACCUAUGGCGAAGGCAGCCAUCUGGCCUAAUACUGACGCUGAGGUACGAAAGCAUGGGGAGCAAACAGGAUUAGAUACCCCAGUAGUCCCUGUCUCUUAUAC